RNAcentral lists this ribosomal RNA (304 nucleotides) under uncultured bacterium. RNAcentral's name for it is "bacterial SSU rRNA". It matches the Rfam family "Bacterial small subunit ribosomal RNA", at positions 29 to 352 of the family's 1533-position model. The record is from RNAcentral.
AAUGAACGUUGGCGGCGUGGAUUGGGCAUGCAAGUCGAGCGCUCAUAGCAAUAUGGGAGCGGCGAACGGCGUAGUAAUAUGUAGGAACGUACCCUCGGGUCGGGAUAGCCAUGGGAAACUGUGGGUAAUACCCGAUAAUCUCUGCGGAGCAAAGGUGUGAUUCCGCCUGAGGAGCGGCCUACACGAUAUUAGCUAGUUGGUAGGGUAAUGGCCUACCAAGGCUACGAUGUCUAGGGGGGUGUGAGAGCAUCGGCCCCACGACGGACUGAGACUACUCGCCACGACUACCGUACGGGUGGCUGAC